Molecule: long non-coding RNA, 434 nt
Organism: Artibeus jamaicensis (Jamaican fruit-eating bat)
Lineage: Eukaryota; Metazoa; Chordata; Mammalia; Chiroptera; Phyllostomidae
Exons: 3
Source: RefSeq, a predicted model, not a curated record
AGCUCCAGGGCACAGAGCUGAGCAGGCCUCGAGCAUCAGAAUGGAAGCUUGGACACCAACCUGCCUCUGAUUGGUCCCAAGGCGGAGGAAACAGGUGCAGGGAGGUUGUCACUUGCCUGAGGACAGCCAACUGUGAAAAAGGGGUGCUGGAACUCAUCACGAACUCUUUUUACCUGUCACCGUGAUCAAGGCCAUCCUAGCUCGGCGAAGAUUCUCCCCAUGAAGAGAGAAGCAGGAACCAUGGUUCAGAUUGUUUUUAAGACCGGAAGCUGGGUCCUGGAGUGGAUGGCACUGCCUAGAUGGGGAAGAACUGCUGGAGAGGAACCUCGUGAGGCCCUUUGGAAGUUCCAGGGAGGAAACGAGGCGGCAGAGGCUCCCAGUGGCAGUGUCAGCAGAGGUGGGUGACAGGCAUUGAUUUGUUCUGGGGAAGGAAC